This 735-nucleotide ribosomal RNA is filed under the name Salmonella enterica. RNAcentral describes it as "partial 23S ribosomal RNA". It matches the Rfam family "Bacterial large subunit ribosomal RNA", at positions 1 to 668 of the family's 2925-position model. Lineage: Bacteria; Pseudomonadati; Pseudomonadota; Gammaproteobacteria; Enterobacterales; Enterobacteriaceae. The record is from RNAcentral.
GGGUUGUGAGGUUAAGCGACUAAGCGUACACGGUGGAUGCCCUGGCAGUCAGAGGCGAUGAAGGACGUGCUAAUCUGCGAUAAGCGCCGGUAAGGUGAUAUGAACCGUUAUAACCGGCGAUUUCCGAAUGGGGAAACCCAGUGUGACUCGUCACACUAUCAUUAACUGAAUCCAUAGGUUAAUGAGGCGAACCGGGGGAACUGAAACAUCUAAGUACCCCGAGGAAAAGAAAUCAACCGAGAUUCCCCCAGUAGCGGCGAGCGAACGGGGAGGAGCCCAGAGUCUGAAUCAGCAUGUGUGUUAGUGGAAGCGUCUGGAAAGGCGCGCGAUACAGGGUGACAGCCCCGUACACAAAAGCGCAUGUGCUGUGAGCUCGAUGAGUAGGGCGGGACACGUGGUAUCCUGUCUGAAUAUGGGGGGACCAUCCUCCAAGGCUAAAUACUCCUGACUGACCGAUAGUGAACCAGUACCGUGAGGGAAAGGCGAAAAGAACCCCGGCGAGGGGAGUGAAAAAGAACCUGAAACCGUGUACGUACAAGCAGUGGGAGCCCCACCACUAAGCCAGUGGUGAACUCCACAUACGCAUCCUUUGCUGAGGAUACGGUUAACGGAGCGAAAGCGACGUUCAACCUCAAAAGAAGCAGAGGGGGCUUAGUGGUGGGGUGACUGCGUACCUUUUGUAUAAUGGGUCAGCGACUUAUAUUCUGUAGCAAGGUUAACCGAAUAGGGGAGCCG